UACAGAGGUCUCAAGCGUUGUUCGGAUUCAUUGGGCGUAAAGGGUGCGUAGGCGGCGCGGUAAGUCGGGUAUGAAAUCUCGGGGCUUAACUCCGAAACUGCAUUCGAUACUGCCGUGCUUGAGGACUGGAGAGGAGACUGGAAUUUACGGUGUAGCGGUGAAAUGCGUAGAUAUCGUAAGGAAGACCAGUGGCGAAGGCGGGUCUCUGGACAGUUCCUGACGCUGAGGCACGAAGGUCAGGGGAGCAAACGGG
This 253-nucleotide ribosomal RNA is filed under the name uncultured bacterium. Its description in RNAcentral is "partial 16S ribosomal RNA". It matches the Rfam family "Bacterial small subunit ribosomal RNA", at positions 524 to 776 of the family's 1533-position model. The record is from RNAcentral.